GUGCUGCUUGCUUUGGCAGCACAUAUACUAAAAUUGGAAUGAUACAGAGAAGAUUAGCAUGGCCCCUGAGCAAGGAUUUCACACAAAUGUAGAAAGAUCAUGAGUAAAAUU
Small nuclear RNA from Sorex araneus (European shrew), 111 nucleotides. Lineage: Eukaryota; Metazoa; Chordata; Mammalia; Eulipotyphla; Soricidae. The record is from Ensembl.